AGAUAAUAGCAGGGAGAGUUGAUAUGAGAUACCUUUUUCCUCAUGACGAGUAUACAUGCAUGGAUCUCAUAGGAAGGAGGAAGAACACAGGGCUUCUCAAGAAGCUCGAGCUAAAGACGCUGAAGCCGUCGAAACAGGAGAGAUUGGAGGAAGAACAUUGGCUUAUCUCCCAGAAGUGAUCUACAAGCCACUGGUGAAUAAGCAUGUAUGAUUUGGCGGUGAAUCUCUUGCAAAGUAUCAAUGGGCUGGGACUAUCUACGAAUGGGAACAAGGUUAUACAUGCAGUUUUUUGGUAAUGCUAUGGAGAAUUUAGAAAGCACAUAACGAGAAAGUGUAACUGGCAGAAACAUCUACAUCUAUAACUAUGAGUUGGUUGAAGAGAUAAAGUAAGCAUCUUUCGAAUUGAUUUAGCAUAGAUCAAGAUUCAUAUGAGUAACAUGGAGUGAUUGGCGUAUAUUAGAUUUACAAUCUAAAUUUUUUUAUGCUUGCUGUACAACACUAUUUGCUACUUUUGUUGUAUGUUUUAGUAGCAACUUACUCAUGAA
Molecule: long non-coding RNA, 545 nt
Organism: Helianthus annuus (common sunflower)
Lineage: Eukaryota; Viridiplantae; Streptophyta; Magnoliopsida; Asterales; Asteraceae
Exons: 3
Source: RefSeq, a predicted model, not a curated record